GACGAACGCUGGCGGCGUGCUUAACACAUCCAAGUCGAACGGAAAGGCGCUGCUUUUGUGGGGUGCUCGAGUGGCGAACGGGUGAGUAACACGUGAGUAACCUGCCCUUGACUGUGGGAGAACUUCAGGAAACUGGGGCUAAUACCGGAGAGGAGCUCCUGCUGCAUGGGGGGGGAUGGAAAGUUUCGGCGGUUGGGGAUGGACUCGCGGCUUAUCAGCUGGUUUGGGGGGUAGUGGCUUACCAAGGCUGUGAAUGGUAGCCGGCGUUAGAGGGUGGCCGGCCACGAUGGUCCUGAGGUACGGCGCAGUCGACUAUGGUGCGCAGCAGGGGAGAAUCUUGCACAAUAGCCCGAAGCUUGAUACGGAAUUGUUGCGUGCGUAAUGCCCUCUUUCUAGUUGUAAACCGAUUUCGCCGUUGAUGAACCCUGGUUGACGGUACCUGGUCAAGAAGCCCCGGCUAACUACGUG
RNAcentral lists this ribosomal RNA (468 nucleotides) under uncultured bacterium. RNAcentral's name for it is "partial 16S ribosomal RNA". It matches the Rfam family "Bacterial small subunit ribosomal RNA", at positions 28 to 507 of the family's 1533-position model. The record is from RNAcentral.